Molecule: long non-coding RNA, 607 nt
Organism: Mustela erminea (ermine)
Lineage: Eukaryota; Metazoa; Chordata; Mammalia; Carnivora; Mustelidae
Exons: 5
Source: RefSeq, a predicted model, not a curated record
GAGCGUGAAGCCAGGAUGUGAUUCCGAACUGGAUGGUUCGAACUAUGAGCCACAUAACACCCGAACUGUUAGCAGAGGCACUGUCAGGCUAAGAGGGACCAAAUCCAAACCACCCUGUUUUUAAACACAGGACUAGGCGCCUGCAUGGUGAUCCCAGAAUCAUGGGAAAGUGGUAAAAAUGAAAAAUGACAUCUUUGAUGGAGAAGACUCCACAGAGACCCGGGAGAAGCGCGGCCUCUUCCCCUGCUCACAGACAGCUCUCUUUCCCCUCAUAUGGCUGACAGGGCAAGCAGGACUCCACUGCAGGCUCAAACAAUGGCUGACAUCCUAGGUCAAGGCUGCGGGUGAGGAAGGAAGACUAGGGCUGCGGACAGUAGCCUUGUAGAGGAGGGGGAAAUCAGUAGGAGAGCAUAAGGAUUUGGACAAUGUUUGUAGGGGUCAAUGCACUAGGCUUCUGUCACUCUUACUCUGCCUGCUGAAAAAGUGUGUCAGUUUCCGAGGAUACGAGGAUGGAUCUUGUCUGUAGCCAGCAUCCUCGCUCGACCAUGUUCAAAUUUUGCAUCCCCGUUGACAUACAAUAAAUGACAACAUGACAUGAGAAGGUGGA